Molecule: non-coding RNA, 467 nt
Organism: Cinara cedri
Lineage: Eukaryota; Metazoa; Arthropoda; Insecta; Hemiptera; Aphididae
Source: the annotation of a GenBank genome assembly
UCCCGAUUUUGCUCGAUUGUUAAAAAAACUACAAGGAAAAUCAAAAAAACAAAAAAAAAUGAUCCCCUCGAUGCAUCGACUAGAAAGAAUUUUGCUAAGAGAAAAAAAGAAAACAAAAGCAAACAUCAUAGUAAAGCUAUAGGAUUUUUGCACUGUUUGGAAAUAUUCUUCUUCGGUUUACGGUACCGGUGCAAAUACCGGUUUUUCUGUUUUUAAUGUGAACAAAAUAAAAAGAAAUAAUUUGCAUGCGUCAUUAAAUUUACAUACAGCUUAGAAUAAAUUUAAAUUGUAAUUUUAGAUUCUGAGCGGAGUGAUUAGCGGAUCGUAUUAGUUUUACAACGAUGUUUAUUUUUAAUUAUUUUUUUUUAUAUAUCGUGUACAGAAAUUCUAUCAGCAAUCUUGCACCCAAACAUCUAUUCUGAGAUGUAAUUAUCCUGUGGUGGUACUUUGAGAUGAUUAUUUUUUGA